Molecule: ribosomal RNA, 292 nt
Filed under: uncultured Bacteroidota bacterium
Lineage: Bacteria; Pseudomonadati; Bacteroidota
Description: uncultured Bacteroidetes bacterium partial 16S ribosomal RNA
Source: RNAcentral
GGACUACAAGGGUUUCUAAUCCUGUUUGAUCCCCACGCUUUCGUGCCUCAGCGUCAAUAACUGCUUAGUAAGCUGCCUUCGCAAUCGGUGUUCUAUAUCAUAUCUAUGCAUUUCACCGCUACAUGAUAUAUUCCGCCUACCUCAACAGUAUUCAAGAUAGAUAGUAUCAAUGGCAGUUUCCAAGUUGAGCUCGGAGAUUUCACCACUGACUUAACUACCCGCCUACACACCCUUUAAACCCAGUGAAUCCGGAUAACGCUUGCACCCUCCGUAUUACCGCGGCUGCUGGCAC